GAUGAAGAACGUAGUGAAAUGCGAUAAUUAAUGUGAAUUGCAGAAUUCAGUGAAUCAUCGAGUCUUUGAACGCACAUUGCGCCCCCUGGUAUUCCGGGGGGCAUGCCUGUCCGAGCGUCAUUGCUGCCCUCAAGCACGGCUUGUGUGUUGGGCUUCCGUCCCUGGCAACGGGGACGGGCCCAAAAGGCAGUGGCGGCACCAUGUCUGGUCCUCGAGCGUAUGGGGCUUUGUCACCCGCUCCCGUAGGUCCAGCUGGCAGCUAGCCUCGCAACCAAUCUUUUUAACCAGGUUGACCUCGGAUCAGGUAGGGAUACCCGCUGAACUUAAGCAUAUCAAUAAGGGAGGA
RNAcentral lists this unclassified non-coding RNA (346 nucleotides) under soil metagenome. RNAcentral's name for it is "partial contains 5.8S ribosomal RNA, internal transcribed spacer 2, and large subunit ribosomal RNA". The stretch from base 1 to 120 matches the Rfam family "5.8S ribosomal RNA", at positions 35 to 154 of the family's 154-position model. The record is from RNAcentral.